This 414-nucleotide ribosomal RNA is filed under the name uncultured bacterium. RNAcentral describes it as "bacterial SSU rRNA". It matches the Rfam family "Bacterial small subunit ribosomal RNA", at positions 94 to 509 of the family's 1533-position model. The record is from RNAcentral.
CCCGGCGAACGGGUGCGUAACACGUGAGCGACCUGCCUUCGAGAGGGGGAUAGCCGGCCCAACGGCCGGGUAAUACCGCAUACGACCGGCGCCUCGCACGGGGCGGCGGUGAAACCUUUCGGGCUCGGAGAGGGGCUCGCGGCCUAUCAGCUAGUUGGCGGGGUAACGGCCCACCAAGGCGAUGACGGGUAGCUGGUCUGAGAGGAUGGCCAGCCACAUUGGGACUGAGAGACGGCCCAGACUCCUACGGGAGGCAGCAGUGGGGAAUCUUGCGCAAUGGCCGAAAGGCUGACGCAGCGACGCCGCGUGAGGGAUGACGGCCUUCGGGUUGUAAACCUCUGUUGCCCGGGACGAACCGGCUUAUUCGUAAGCCUUGACGGUACCGGGUGAGGAAGCACCGGCUAACUCUGUGCC